UACGUAGGGUGCAAGCGUUGCCCGGAAUCAUUGGGCGUAAAGCGCGCGCAGGCGGAUCAGCAAGUCAGAUGUGAAAUCUCGAAGCUCAACUUCGAAACUGCGUCUGAAACUGCUAGUCUAGAAUGUCGGAGGGGGCAGGGGAAUUUCACGUGUAGGGGUAAAAUCCGUAGAGAUGUGAAGGAACACCGGAGGCGAAGGCGCCUGCCUGGACGACUAUUGACGCUGAGGCGCGAAAGCGUGGGGAGCAAACAGG
Molecule: ribosomal RNA, 253 nt
Filed under: uncultured bacterium
Lineage: Bacteria
Description: partial 16S ribosomal RNA
Rfam family: Bacterial small subunit ribosomal RNA
Source: RNAcentral